AGUUUCAACGGCCGCGGUAACCUGACCGUGCUAAGGUAGCGUAAUCAAUUGCCCUUUAAUUGUGGGCCAGUAUGAAUGGUCAGACAAGAGCUUAACUGUCUCAAAAAGCCUCAUGAAAAUUAACCUUUAGGUGCAAAGGCCUAAAUUUUAGUGAAAGACAAGAAGACCCUAUCGAGCUUUAAUUUAUAUUAUUCUUAUCCAACUAUAUAAAUUUUUAUUGGGGCAAUAAAGGAGCAACUAAACCCUCCUUGAUAAAAACAGAUAAACUAAUUUACAAAAGACACAUUUAAAAAUGACCUUCGGCAUAAGCUACCGUAGGGAUAACAGACUAAUUUCCCUUGAGAGUUCGCAUUGACAGGGAAGUUUGGCACCUCGAUGUUGGCUUAAAAAAACAGUUAGAAGCAACUCUCUAACCUUGUAGGUUUGUUCACCCUUUAAUUUUUUAGUCUUCUAGACAAAAAUAUUAGAAGUCCGACCUGCCCAGUGAACUAAU
Molecule: ribosomal RNA, 493 nt
Filed under: Phascolosoma perlucens
Lineage: Eukaryota; Metazoa; Annelida; Sipuncula; Phascolosomatiformes; Phascolosomatidae
Description: partial 16S ribosomal RNA
Rfam family: Bacterial large subunit ribosomal RNA
Source: RNAcentral